GGGGAAUAUUGGACAAUGGGCGAAAGCCUGAUCCAGCAAUGCCGCGUGAGUGAUGAAGGCCUUAGGGUUGUAAAGCUCUUUUACCCGGGAAGAUAAUGACUGUACCGGGAGAAUAAGCCCCGGCUAACUCCGUGCCAGCAGCCGCGGUAAUACGGAGGGGGCCAGCGUUGUUCGGAAUUACUGGGCGUAAAGCGCACGUAGGCGGCUUUGCAAGUUAGAGGUGAAAGCCCGGGGCUCAACCCCGGAAUUGCCUUUAAGACUGCAGGGCUAGAAUCCAGGAGAGGUGAGUGGAAUUCCGAGUGUAGAGGUGAAAUUCGUAGAUAUUCGGAAGAACACCAGUGGCGAAGGCGGCUCACUGGACUGGUAUUGACGCUGAGGUGCGAAAGCGUGGGGAGCAAAC
RNAcentral lists this ribosomal RNA (400 nucleotides) under uncultured bacterium. RNAcentral's name for it is "bacterial SSU rRNA". It matches the Rfam family "Bacterial small subunit ribosomal RNA", at positions 356 to 773 of the family's 1533-position model. The record is from RNAcentral.